ACGGCUUAGACUGACUCAUUGCCUGUAAAUUGCGUUGCUCCAACGGUAUAACUUGACGGACAUACGUCCAAACAUUGGUGUUUAUCGUCGUAACAAGCAAGGAAGAUGUAAAGAAGAGAUGUAGCUAAGAAACUGCAAGUUCCCAGAAAUGUUAUCAAAUAUGAGAAAGUGGCAACGUAUAUUCGAACACCAAUGUGUUUUUUAUAAUAAAGUAUUCUCUCUGUUUUACAUAUUUUGAAAACCAUUAAGUACACGGGCAUUUAUAUUCAAAAUUAUAUUCAAUGUGAAAAAGGAUUUUUAUACUAUAAGUCUAUAAGUUUAUCAUUUUUUAUUCACGGAAGUUACUCCAAAUGUACUUAAUGCUAUGUCACUCUCUCUCUUUAUAGUAGCCUACUUUAUACUAGGUCAUAGUCUUUUUUUUUUUUGCUAAAGAGUAAAUGUCAUUGCAAUGAAUGAAGUUUCGGUUACAUAUUGAUGCAACCACAAUCUGCUUUUCAGCUAUUCUGAAAGCUUAGAGGGUGCAAAAAAGUUUAAAAAAACCCCUAAACCACAAAGAGAUUAAGCUCAAUCUUUACCAACAAUGGUAAGCUUGAAGUUAAUAACAUAAUCUAGGACAAAGACAAACAAUUAAUCUCCCAAUCCCAAGCACUUCUCAUAUUACUGGAGCAACCAGAGACAACAAGAGUAAAGCCACAAGAUAAGUUCAAUCAGGUCUCACCGAAGUGGCUCCAAGCAGGCAUCGACGGCAACGGCUGGCUCCCGCCCCGGAGCUCCGUUUGGAGGAGGACGCCGACGAACAAACUCAAGCUUCCUCAGUACUUGCUAACGUGUAACCUGACAUCGACACCGUUUAAAGAUGAAGCCUGAGUUACGGUCAAGCGCAGACGGUCGUUUUGGCUCCUCAUCCGGCCACGCGACACAAAGGAUACAGCAGAAAUAUCAAGCCACACAAAAGCUAGCAACUGGAGCUUAGGAGGUAGGGAAUUGAAGUGCAGAAGGAGUGUGAAAGCUCCUUGAAACAGACGAAUCCAAAACCAGUGAGAAUACCACCUCAAUGCAGGAGACAUUUUCGCAAGGGUUGUCCUCAAAACCCUAGGAAACAGCAUCGAGAGCAGAAAGGAGGACAAAUACAGGUUCUGGAGUCACGCCAUGGUUGUCGUCAUUCGACCUAAGGGACAGAGGUCCUCGGUGGUGCACCUCACAACCACCCUUCACUCAGAUCUGAGAGGAGGAGCUCUACAAAACCUUUGAAUCGGCAUAAUAGAGAGACACGACUGGAGGGAGACACAAGGCAGGAAAAGCGACGGUCGCGACGCGUCACAGUUUCCGGCGAGUCUCAGAUCUCAGAUCUGACCCAGAUCCGAGCGCAGACGGUGACUACAAGCAGAUCCAAAGGCUCCAGAGUGAACUUCAACUCAUCACACCUCGCCAGUGUUCCGGAGAGAAGCAAGGACGCCUUGCUCUCAGUUCGUUCCGACGGAGAAGCCCCAUCGAACCCAGAGCAACCGAACAAGGAGGAGAGACGAGGUGGAGACAACAAAGGAGAGAGGCGAUAUCAAAAACGAGAGAAUCAAGAGACCCGCGGUGACCGGAUCUAUGGACCAGCCACCGCGAGAAAGUUACGCAGGUGGAGAGCUCGAGGGAGAGAGAGUUAGGAGAGAGAGAGAGGAAAAUAUUGUGUUCACUCUGGAGAGCUCGAGGGAGAUCUAGGUCAUAGUCUUUGUUGUGUUAUUUAUCGUGUUCGCACACAACAUUCAAUAUUCAACCAUCCUUAAAAA
Molecule: long non-coding RNA, 1778 nt
Filed under: Brassica napus (rape)
Lineage: Eukaryota; Viridiplantae; Streptophyta; Magnoliopsida; Brassicales; Brassicaceae
Description: long non-coding RNA (BNAP_LNC006507)
Source: RNAcentral